CCUACGGGAGGCUGCAGUGGGGAAUAUUGCACAAUGGGGGAAACCCUGACGCAGCGACGCCGCGUGAGUGAAGAAGUAAUUCGUUAUGUAAAGCUCUAUCAGCAGGGAAGAAAAAGACGGUACCUGAGUAAGAAGCACCGGCUAACUACGUGCCAGCAGCCGCGGGAAUACGAAGGGGGCAAGAGUGAUCCGGAUUUACUGGGUGUAAAGGGGGCGUAGACGGCAGUGCAAGUCUGGAGUGAAAGGCGGGGGCUCAACCCCCGGACUGCUCUUGAAACUGUACGGCUGGAGUGCCGGAGAGGUAAGUGGAAUUCCGUGUGUAGCGGUGAAAUGCGUAGAUAUUAGGAGGAACACCAGUGGCGAAGGCGGCUUACUGGACUGUAACUGACGUUGAGGCUCGAAAGCGUGGGGAGCAAACAGGAUUAGAUACCCCAGUAGUC
RNAcentral lists this ribosomal RNA (440 nucleotides) under uncultured bacterium. RNAcentral's name for it is "partial 16S ribosomal RNA". It matches the Rfam family "Bacterial small subunit ribosomal RNA", at positions 338 to 795 of the family's 1533-position model. The record is from RNAcentral.